This is a long non-coding RNA of Globicephala melas (long-finned pilot whale), 3517 nucleotides long. RefSeq lists it as uncharacterized. NCBI's taxonomy places the organism in Eukaryota, Metazoa, Chordata, Mammalia, Artiodactyla, Delphinidae. The record is from RefSeq and is a predicted model, not a curated record.
UUUUCCACAUUUUCUAGUCGGGGCCGACUUCUUCAGCUACAUGUAGCUUAGCUGCUAUUGUGAAGGCCAGUCCCCUGCCUCCUUCUCCUCCCCUUUAUCUUCAGAGCUCGGAAAGAGUUUAAAUUUGCAGACAAGGGAAAUAGGUUAGAUAACAAAAAGAACUUACUUGGAAACUCGCGGUUUGGGUUACUAGGAAAAAAGGGUAUAGCCUUUCAUAGAAUUCUUUAAAAAUAUAGUUUUCCGGGGCCACUGACAUGAGUACUGUGGCGACUUCCAGCUCUCUCUGCCUUCCAGCCUUGCUCCUUGCAUCAGUUGGAUUGUUUGAGGAAGACAGAGGAUCUUCUUGAUGGGGGAUGGAGGGUAGAGGGGUGGGGUGGAAGCUGUGAGUUACGACGGGAAACUCAUUCACUGGGAUACUUCGCAGUUUUUAAUCGCUUAUAUUCGGUUUGGACCUGCAGCUCUUGGAAAGUCUUGCGUCUUCCUGUCUGGGAAGUAGUCUAGGACCCACGGAAAGGUCAUCAACCUCUUUUCCAGACAGCCCUUCACUUGGGUUUCAUGCAAGGAUACAGGAGCUGGUGGACCCCGGUGAUGCUGGACAAAUGGUGCCUCUACAGCCGCAGAGGCAGAAGGCAGACAGCACACAUGUGCUGAGCUGCAAGCUUGCUCCUGAAGGAAGGCUCCGGAUUUGCCCCAAGGGGUGGUCACAGACGCAGCUCAAGCCCCUGGAAUCUUUGCUCAGUGGCAUGGGCAUCCACCCCAUAGGCUCCAGAGACUACCUCACCCUGGAUGUGGAGCAAGGUGUUUGCUUGGCAACCGGGGAGGGUGCCUGACCCCAGAGUAACAAGAUACAGAGGAUCUAGGGGCCUCAGGCAUUUCCCACCCAUUUCUGUUGAGAGGCAAUUCCACAGCUCUCAGUUUAAGCUGGAGGCAGUCUUAGGCUCUUUUUUCUUUUUUUUUUUUUGCGGUACGCGGGCCUCUCACUGUUGUGGCCUCUCCCGUUGCGGAGCACAGGCUCCAGAUGCGCAGGCUCAGCGGCCAUGGCUCACGGGCCUAGCCGCUCCGUGGCAUGUGGGAUCUUCCCAGACCGGGGCACGAACCCGCGUCCCCUGCAUCAGCAGGCGGACUCUCAACCACUGCGCCACCAGGGCAGCCCUGGAGGCAGUCUUAGAGAGGCUAGAACUACAAACCUUCUGCUGGUAACCCCACCUCUCACCUCACAACCUCCAGCUGCCGUCUCAUCAGAACUACUGAGGUGGGUACAGGUGAGGAUGAGUAAAUCAAAUCGAUGAUCAAUUAAAAGUGUUUAUUUUUAAGUAGAAAGGGGGAAGAGAGUGACACAGAGGCAACUUUUGGCAUCUUCUUUCUGGGCCAUCACCCCCAUGUGCUUCCCAACCCAAAGCACUGGCAGGAGGGGCCCCGGGACAGGAUGAGGGGCCAGACAGUCGCAAAGUCACAGAGAGAUCUGUACAGCCCUGGAGAGGUGAGAUUCAAGGGUCCAUCCCAGCUCCCUCGUCCUGGAACAGGAUUAGAGCUCAGGGGCAUAGGGCUCCCCGGUGGGUGAGGGCACCCGCAGCUCAGCAUCAUGCCUGACCACGGUGAAGAGCCCCACCACCGCCAGCAAAGCCAUCACCAUAACGGCGGAGCAGAUGCUGAACAUGUUCCGAGUGCCCGUUUUGCGAUCGCUGUCAUGGAGGACCAGAAGCCCCAAGCAGGCCAGUAAGUGCAGGGGCACCCGGAACCAGUUGAGGACACCAGCUUGCUCUGUCUCAGGGAUCACUUUUCUCCGCAGGAAGCCCAUGCUGGGAAAGUACAGCCCACAGGCUAACUCGAUAAGGAGGAAGGCUAUAAAGGACUCCACUGGACUUUCCUGGCCUGGGCUGGUAGAGAAGGUCAACAUGAAGAGGGAGAAGACGACGAUGAGGACAGCGAGGGAGACUAGGUGCAUGGGCUGAAGGUGGUACCUCUUGGAGGUAGCGAUGCGGUACAGAGAAGAGCCGAGCAGGCUGGCUGCCAUGAAGCUGGAGAAGAUGAUGCCCAGCGGGGCCCCAUGUGGGUCCAGCACAGGCGUCCAGAGGAAGACAAAGAUGAAGAUGACACUCUCAAACAGGGCCUGAAUGGUGCCUAGCAGCAGCACACGACGGUCCGACAGGAGACAGCGCAGACCCCCAGCACAGGUCCUGGGGAAGGCACGCUGCCGACCAUAGUUCUCUCCCCAGUUACGGAGGGCCAAGGCCCCAGCCAGAGCCAAGAGAGGGAUGGCAGCCACAAAGGGUGCCACAGGCCCCAGGCCCAUCCAGCAGGCCACGGCCUCAGCUGCCACACCUGCCACUACAGCCAGCACGUGAUUCCAGAAGGCAGCUCGGGCAAAGGUAGCCGGGAUCCACUCUGCGGGGAAGUCAUGCCGUUCCACAUGCUCGUGGAUGUACCAGGCCUCAAAGGCCGAGAAGAGCAGGGCUGUGGACAGCCCACCAAGUGCUCGGCCCACCAGCAGCACAAAGUAGUCCUGAGAGAGUUUGGUUAGGCAGCAGAGAGAGUAAGUGAGGGAGAAGAGGACACAAGACUUCUUGCGACCCAGCCAAUCCACAAGGGAGGAGGCCACCAGUCCAAAGAGGACUGUGGAGGCAAGGCCGCAGACAUAGAGGAUGGCGAUUUGUCCCUCCAGGAAGUGGUAAUGUUGAUAGAGUUUAUAGAGGUAGGGGGCCUGGAGCCAGUCAGCCGCCAGGGCCAGGAAGUAGACCUGAUAGAAGUCCAGUUGAAACCGAAGGAAGGAGGGAUUGCUGCAGGCUCUUCCAGAGGGCUUAGCCCGGCAUCUUGACAGCUCCAACCCCAGGCAGGAGGCCAGGAGGACCACAAAGGCAAGGUAGGCAGUCACCAGCAUGGCCGGCCCCCGGAAGACCUAGGGAGAGAACGGGGCUUCAGAGUCACAUCCAUUGCCCGGAUAGCGCCGUCAAGGAGCUGCGUGUCUAAGCAGAAGGCAGCUCCACCCAACCCCCACUGCCACCUGCACUUCCCCACCCCUCAACUCCACUCCCCCGGAGCUCAGACCAGAAGGACCAGCUGGGUGGGUGGCAGGAGUGGCCCACCAGAGCGGUCUCCAAGGACACUGUGCGGCAGGGAAGGGGUGGGAGAGGGGAGAAGAUUGAGCAUUCGCCUCAUCCUUGCCUGGUAUAGCAGAGAGGGAGUUCCUUCACUAAUCCCAGCCCUGCAGUUAAGGGGCUGCUGCCCUCUCCCACAGUAGCUUAUGCAUACAAUACUUCCUUCUGUUACCUCCCAUCCUCUUUGGGGAGCCCGUUUUUGCCCUCAAUGUCUCGUCAUCUGUCCCGGGCAUCCCCACCGCCCGCGCGGGCCUCUCGAGUUGCUUCUGGGUCACGCGCGUGCAUCUCAGAUUCUCCCUCCUCCAGGUCAGGGCACCCCCCCCCACACACACAAUGCGCCCCCUAGUCCCUGCCCAGCGCCGCCACAUCCGCUCGCGCCUCGCCCAGACACCAUUUCACCUGCUGCCCCGGUCUGCGGGGAC